ACAGACCCAAAAGGACAUACAUGAUUGACCUGGCCUUCACUUGAGGCAGUGGGCUACCUACCCAUCUCAAGAUUUAUGACCCAGAAUUGUUCCUGUCUAAAGGAAAUCCAGGGACAAAAAUGGAGCAGAGACUGAAAGGCCAUCCAGUGACCAGCCCAACUUGGAAUUGAUCCUAUGCAUGAACACCAAAUCCUGACACUGUUACUUGGGCCAUAUUGUGUGUGCAAAGAGGAGCAUAGUAUGGCUGUCCUCUGAAAGGUUCUACUAGCAACUGAUUGAGACAAAUGCAGAAGCUUUCAGCUAACCAUGGAUUGAGGUUGGGGACCAAUAUAGAAGAGUGAGAGUAAGGUGCUGAAGAGGAUAGCAACCCUGUAGGAAGAACAACAAUGUCAACCAAUCCAUUUAGUUCACUUUUACUUUCCCAGAUACUUAACCCAGUUUAGUUUACUUUCUCAGAACUUCCAAAGAAUAAGCCAAAAACCAAGGAGCAUACCCAGGCUGGUUUGUACCCCCCUAAUCCCCCUAACAUACCCCUCUCCCCUGCACAGAGGUAGAAGAGAAUGGCCUUGUCUGGCCUCAGUGCGAUGUAUUGUAUUUAAUUCUCUGGAAAUUGAUGCCCUAGGGAAGAGGGAUGCUGGUGGGGUGAGGUGGGAAUUGGGGUGAGGGAAGGAAGCACCCCUCUGAGAUGGGAAGGGGAGGCGGGAUCAAGAAGGGUGUAACUUUUGGAAUGUAAAUAAAAUAAUUUAAUAAAAAAUUAAGAAAAGAAAUGG
This 770-nucleotide long non-coding RNA is filed under the name Rattus norvegicus (Norway rat). RNAcentral describes it as "long non-coding RNA NONRATT015942". Lineage: Eukaryota; Metazoa; Chordata; Mammalia; Rodentia; Muridae. The record is from RNAcentral.